AUGGGAGCUUGGGGAGCGGGGCAAACCCCACCCUUAAAGACAACAAAACAGGUGCAGAGGCUGCGGGCGAUAGUCCUGCAGGGGAGGAGAAUGGAGGAGAAGUUUUGGUGGCGAGCGAGCAGGAACAGUGUCCAGGGUCUCUCCGCCGCCUUCCGGGCUUGCAAGCCCGCGCAGCCAGACCCUACCCAGAGGGGCGCCCCCUCGCGGGUCCCCAGCCACCACCUGCAGCUGCUGCUGUCACCUACUGUGCCACCCCCAAGUUUGAUACUCUGGGCUUUUGCACCACCCCUACCUCCCUUUCCUUCCACGAAUUUCUCCCUUUGCUCUCUCCCCCCCAGUUCCGCGAGAGAUGGCCCGGCGAAGACAGACCUCCUGGACUUAAGGCCGAGUUCACCAAAUCCGCCCCGGGGAAAGGCGAGGGCAAAGGCGGGGUGGACCGACCCAGCUGCGGCUGAGUGGCUGAGGUCCCGAGCAGGGCAGACGAGCGCAGGAGAACUCAGGAGCAGAGAUGGGGAGCUGGAUCUGCGCAGAACCCCGGAAAAGCGCCAGCAGGACUGCACCGAGAACAAAUCCUCCGCUCCCUCGCCCAGGGCUGGGGCGCAGCGCGCUGGUGCUCCUCUGGAGCUGGGCGGUCCCCGUGCUCCAAACAAGAAGCUGACUUCUGGAUCCUUCACUCUUUGAUCCUGACCCAAGCCACUCGUGCCACCAGGAGCGCAUGCCUCUGGAAUACUCGCUCCUGUCUCCUUGUGGUGAAGCCUUCCGCUGAUGCCCAGAGUCUCCCAGGCUGAAUUAGUGGGUAGGAGCAAAACAGGAUGGUGGAGACGAUCAGCAGAGCAGCAGCGUCUGUUUCCUCGGGAUUCCUCCCAGGAACACUAUUCGAAGCCAUUCCUUCUAAAAGUUUGCAGCCAGUCUCUCUUUCCUUUGUUCGUUUUUAGAGGAGGCAGUAGAGCUACCUACAUUUAAAAAACCAAAGCCUGAUACUGAUAACCUAAGUCUUUACUUAACCAUCCUGUUUGGAGGCUUUGCACACAUUACUUUUCCUCUAUGCAUUGGCAUUUCUGAAAUAAGGAUGGUUAUGCUGGUGUGCUUGGAAUUUCUCUGAAAUAUACCCCUAAAUGAUUAGACUAAAAAUCAGAUUCUGCUACUUUAAAAGGAAAAAAUAUAUAUUUAUCUGUUAAAAAAAAAAAAAAAAGGCAAUACAUGUUCUCCAAGAUGUUAAUUAAAGGCUUCUCUCAAAUGGAUUGGAUUUUCAAUUCCUUCAGGGUUUUUCCACACCCUAAUAGUAUUGCAACUGUAAGGCAUUUUUACAGUGUAAUCUGAUUAAUCUUCAGUUAAUAUAGAAUUAUGCCCACAGGAGUAUAGGAAUUGUUUAUAAAACAAAGCAGUCCAGGCUUUUCAAAUACCUAGAAACAAAGGUAAACAGAACUGGAAAUAUACAACGUGUUCUACACAGUUCCACUGAAAGUCUUUUUGUAGAUUUUUUUUUUUUUCCUUAAGAAAGUACUCUUUGCCCAAAUAUGUGUUCUAUGUGACGGGGUCCAUUCUUCUUAAUAUAUCUACACUGGUGAAGAAUGAACUAUAUACCAAUAAGGUAUAUUAUUGAAAGAGUAGAAAUGGAUUUAAACAACAACCACACAAACAAAUCAAAUAUCCAGCAAAACAGAUGAGUGUUGUCUUUCAGAGCAAUUGCUUUGGAAAAUUCAACUGAUUUCAGUGAUAUUGAUUGCACAAAACAUUUUUUAUCUUCUUUGAAAUUGCCUUUCAGAAGCAUAUUAGCAGCCAUAAACAACUAUUUGUCUCACUCCGUUAUAGAUGUGUAUUUGUCUUAGUAGAUUCAUAUAGUUCCACAGACAUCUAGUCAGCAACCUCGAAAGAGUAAAUGAUCUCUAUGAUUAAUGUCCUUUAAUAAAGUUUAGAAUUGGAUGAGAAACUGAUAAACUGAAAUUAAAGUCACUUUAUAGUGUAUCAUGUUAUCAAGGAUAGCUGUGGGAAUUAGCUUAUGACACUUUUGUGCAUCACAGUCUAAUUAAUAUCCUUAAAUGUGCAUGCAUAUCCUGUGUAUUGUAGUAACAACAAACCACUGUGAUGAAUGUCCAUAAACCCAAUUAUGACACUGACAGGAGAUUGGGAGUUUGUGGAAUUGGUGGUGAAAUAUCGAUUAAUCCAAAUUGAAAUAGGAUAAGAUUAUUGAUGCUUGAUUUCUUUUGUAUCAAAUCAUUUAGUUGCUCAGGAAAUUCCAUUUCUAACCAGAAUAUGUGCUGUGACUGCUCUUCAAAUAGAGAACAGACUCAAACUCACAUGCCUACAUGGUUAGGGCCAAUGACAUAAAUGGACCAGCAAGCUAGGUUGUAGGAGAGUGUGGAAAAUGGUGAUUGCUAUAACACCUUGAAGAGCACAAAAGCACAUGCUAUAGCUGAAUGGGGAGAUUGCUUCUCAGAUUACACUCAGCUGGCCUGCAAAAAUCUCGAUUCAGUAUUGUCAGAUCUGAUUUUUAAGAGAAGCAAAAUCCAUAUUGUUAAAAAUCUUCUGAAUUUUAAAUAAGCAAAAUUAAUUUUUAAAAAUUCAAAACUCCUAGUGGACAGGCCAAAAUAAAUAAGAAAUAAUAGAUAGAUAGAUAGAUAGAUAGAUAGAUAGAUAGAUAGAUAGCAGCCUGACUCAUCCUGGGCCUCCAAUAUUGUAACCUGUGAUAUUAGUAUUUGAUGUUUGACAAAUCUCCUAAAAUAUUUAAAACAUACUUCUACUACCAUUUCCCCUACCCCAUUGACCAUUUCUCAAUGCACAGAAAUACAAGAGGAAUACAACCAAAGAUUAGUUGCCAAAUAAGUAAUGUUCUUUUCCAUAUCUGGUUGAAUAGAUAUUCCCAAGGAAAUUCUACAGUAAGGGAUUUGUUGAAUAACUGAACAAUCCAAAUAUUUUAGAUAGCUGGAUGAAAUUUCAGAAAAGCUCUUCAUUACAAAAGAAAAAGUUCAAUAAUAUCAGUAUUGAGGACCACUUGUGAUACAUACUUAUUAGAUAAAGAAAAUCAUGAUGUAGAUUUCCUUCAGUGUAAUUUCAUUUUAACAGCAAAGAUGCUUCCCCCAGGGUAUAAAGAAUUUCAUUGUUAUUUUGAUUAUAAAAGUUAUUUAUAAUCAUUGUAAAAAGUGAGAAUAAACAAAAACAGCAAAGAAGAAAUAGACAUUAUCUCAAACAAUGCAGUCCCACAGAACUUUCUGCAAUAAUGGAAAUGUUCUGUACCUGUGCUGUGCAGUACAGUAGCCACUGGAUAUAUGUGACUAUUGAGCACUUCACAUGUGGCUAGUGCAACGGAAGAACUGAAAUUUUAAAUUGUAUUAAAUUGUAGUUAAUUUGAAUGUAAAACUAAAUAUAGUUUACCCUCAAACAACACAGUUUGAACUGCACAGGUCCACUUAUACUCAGAUCUUUUUCAACCAAACACAAAUGGAAAAUACAGUGUUUGCGGAUGUGAAAUGGCCUUUACAGAAGGUCCAUUUUUCAUAUAUGUGGUUCUGCAGGGCCGACUGCCAGACAUGAAUAUGCCUGGGUUUUGGCAUACGCAGGGUUUCUGAAACCAAUCGUUUCACUCCCCACCCCCCACCCCAGUAUGCAGAAUGACAACUGUAGCCACAUAGGGAGCGUAAGUGGUGGACUGUAUAAAGUCUAAACUUUCAUCAUCC
This 3674-nucleotide long non-coding RNA is filed under the name Macaca mulatta (Rhesus monkey). RNAcentral's name for it is "lncRNA (ENSMMUG00000052794.1)". The record is from RNAcentral. Lineage: Eukaryota; Metazoa; Chordata; Mammalia; Primates; Cercopithecidae.